Molecule: unclassified non-coding RNA, 305 nt
Filed under: fungal sp.
Lineage: Eukaryota; Fungi
Description: partial internal transcribed spacer region
Rfam family: Eukaryotic small subunit ribosomal RNA (bases 1-46)
Source: RNAcentral
AAGUCGUAACAAGGUUUCCGUAGGUGAACCUGCGGAAGGAUCAUUACAGUAAAUUGCUGUAGACCCUGAUGUCUUGGAUUAAAACCAUGGUAUGAAUAAGAUCUGCCAUGUGGCCUAAUAACCUUGGGCAUCCAGCAUCGCCUAACCAUGUUAAAAUAACUGAAAAACGUAGCCUUGGUGAAUUUAUUUGCCAGUGGAAAAGUAUUAAACUCUUUUUAAUUAAGCUCUAUAUAUCACAAUAUGUGUAAUAGUCUGAAAAUAAGUUAAUUAUAUUAAAACUUUCAACAACGGAUCUCUUGGUUCUG